Molecule: ribosomal RNA, 1492 nt
Filed under: metagenome
Description: bacterial SSU rRNA
Rfam family: Bacterial small subunit ribosomal RNA
Source: RNAcentral
AGAGUUUGAUCAUGGCUCAGAUUGAACGCUGGCGGCAUGCCUUACACAUGCAAGUCGAACGGUAACGCGGGGGCAACCCUGGCGACGAGUGGCGAACGGGUGAGUAAUACAUCGGAACAUAUCCAGUAGCGGGGGAUAACCUAUCGAAAGAUGGACUAAUACCGCAUACGAUCUACGGAUGAAAGCAGGGGACCGCAAGGCCUUGCACUAUUGGAGUGGCCGAUGUCGGAUUAGCUAGUUGGUGAGGUAAAGGCUUACCAAGGCGACGAUCCGUAGCUGGUCUGAGAGGACGAUCAGCCACACUGGAACUGAGACACGGUCCAGACUCCUACGGGAGGCAGCAGUGGGGAAUUUUGGACAAUGGGCGCAAGCCUGAUCCAGCCAUGCCGCGUGAGUGAAGAAGGCCUUCGGGUUGUAAAGCUCUUUCGGUGAAGACGAAACGGUUAGCGCUAAUAACGCUGACUAAUGACGGUACUCACAGAAGAAGCACCGGCUAACUACGUGCCAGCAGCCGCGGUAAUACGUAGGGUGCAGGCGUUAAUCGGAAUUACUGGGCGUAAAGCGUGCGCAGGCGGUUUGCUAAGACAGGUGUGAAAUCCCCGAGCUUAACUUGGGAAUUGCGCUUGUAACUGGCAAGCUAGAGUGUGGCAGAGGGGGGUGGAAUUCCACGUGUAGCAGUGAAAUGCGUAGAUAUGUGGAGGAACACCGAUGGCGAAGGCAGCCCCCUGGGUUAACACUGACGCUCAUGCACGAAAGCGUGGGGAGCAAACAGGAUUAGAUACCCUGGUAGUCCACGCCCUAAACUAUGUCAACUAGUUGUCGGGGAAGAAAUUCCUUGGUAACAAAGCUAACGCGUGAAGUUGACCGCCUGGGAGUACGGCCGCAAGGUUAAAACUCAAAGGAAUUGACGGGGACCCGCACAAGCGGUGGAUUAUGUGGAUUAAUUCGAUGCAACGCGAAAAACCUUACCUACCCUUGACAUGCUAGGAAGCCCGCAGAGAUGUGGGUGUGCCCGAAAGGGAACCUAGACACAGGUGCUGCAUGGCUGUCGUCAGCUCGUGUCGUGAGAUGUUGGGUUAAGUCCCGCAACGAGCGCAACCCUUGCCAUUAGUUGCUACAUUCAGUUGGGCACUCUAAUGGGACCGCCGGUGACAAACCGGAGGAAGGUGGGGAUGACGUCAAGUCCUCAUGGCCCUUAUGGGUAGGGCUUCACACGUAAUACAAUGGUCGGUACAGAGGGCUGCCAACCCGCAAGGGGGAGCUAAUCCCAGAAAGCCGAUCGUAGUCCGGAUUGUAGUCUGCAACUCGACUGCAUGAAGCCGGAAUCGCUAGUAAUCGCGGAUCAGCAUGUCGCGGUGAAUACGUUCCCGGGUCUUGUACACACCGCCCGUCACACCAUGGGAGUGGGUUCCACCAGAAGUAGUUAGCCUAACCGCAAGGAGGGCGAUUACCACGGUGAGAUUCAUGACUGGGGUGAAGUCGUAACAAGGUA